UGUGACUGUGAUUCGACCAGAGAUCCGAACAAGCUGAAGAAAACCGGAGCAUAAAAGCCGAUGAUGGAGGGGUUUGGAGGAGUCCAGAUUAACCAAGAAAAAAGUGAUUUCUUCGCUUCCCGCCUGCCCCUGCCACCGAGGGUUGAGCGCAUGGCAGAACAAGUCGCCUGCUGUCUCUGGGCAGGAAGUUCCCACCCACCAUUAGGGGAGGGCUGAUCCUGGAGAAUUAAUUUGCUAACAAAUUAAUUUGCUCCUCCUGGGCCCCAUGCUUGAGUGGAGA
Molecule: long non-coding RNA, 280 nt
Filed under: Fukomys damarensis (Damara mole-rat)
Lineage: Eukaryota; Metazoa; Chordata; Mammalia; Rodentia; Bathyergidae
Description: lncRNA (ENSFDAG00000024866.1)
Source: RNAcentral